Molecule: non-coding RNA, 208 nt
Organism: Oryza glumipatula
Lineage: Eukaryota; Viridiplantae; Streptophyta; Magnoliopsida; Poales; Poaceae
Source: Rfam
AAAAAGUACAGUUUUACACGGUUCAUGUUCAACCAUUGAUCAUCUGUUUUAUUUUUAAAAAAUAUGAUUGGUAUUUUAAUUGUUAUUAGAUGAUAAAACAUAAAUAAUACUUUACGUGUGACUAUUUUUUUUUUGAUGUUUUCCAUAAAUUUUUCAAACAGAACGGACGGUCAAAUGUUAGACACGAAAACUCGUAUCUACGCUUAAA